This 253-nucleotide ribosomal RNA is filed under the name uncultured bacterium. RNAcentral's name for it is "partial 16S ribosomal RNA". It matches the Rfam family "Bacterial small subunit ribosomal RNA", at positions 524 to 776 of the family's 1533-position model. The record is from RNAcentral.
UACAGAGGGGGCAAGCGUUGUCCGGAAUUAUUGGGCGUAAAGGGCUCGUAGGCGGUCUGUUGCGUCGGGAGUGAAAACUCAGGGCUUAACCCUGAGCCUGCUUCCGAUACGGGCAGACUAGAGGUAUGCAGGGGAGAACGGAAUUCCUGGUGUAGCGGUGAAAUGCGCAGAUAUCAGGAGGAACACCGGUGGCGAAGGCGGGUCUCUGGGCCGAUACUGACGCUGAGGAGCGAAAGCGUGGGGAGCGAACAGG